Molecule: long non-coding RNA, 6995 nt
Organism: Phyllostomus discolor (pale spear-nosed bat)
Lineage: Eukaryota; Metazoa; Chordata; Mammalia; Chiroptera; Phyllostomidae
Exons: 5
Source: RefSeq, a predicted model, not a curated record
CAUUUUUGAUAAUUGGCCAAAACAGCUAUUUAGUGCAGAUGUCUGUUCACACUUUUCUUUCUGCCACAAUUGGUGUAAAGUAGUACUUGUUUCAGGGCUAUUCUAGAAGCAGGUCAACACACGUACUAAGAGGAUGCUGGAUCUUAUGUGUUGGUCACUUGCCCUUGAGUUAGUUCUGACUCCUGGUGACUCUGUGAACGAGCGAUGUCCACAGUGUCAUGUCCUCAGCAGCCCUGCUCAGCUCCUGUGGACUCCUGCCUCGGGCUUCCUUCAUGGAGUUGGUCACCCCCUCUUUGGUUUUCUUCUUUUCCUGAUGCCAUCUGCUUUUCUCAGCAUUACUGUCUUUUCCAAAGAACUCUGCUUUCUCAUGAUGCGCCCCAAGUAGGACAGUCUGACUUUAUUACGAACCUCCUUCAUGUUUUUUUUACUUGAAACAGUUUUUACUUUUUCUCCUCCUUGGUAAAAUAAACUGUUCCAUAUCAUCUUUUAAAGUUUCCCUUUAAAAUUAUAGAUUACUUCUUUUAAAAAAAAUUAUUACAUUUUCCAAGAAAAAAUAUUUUGGUUACUCAAACUGCUACAUAAGUGUAAAUUCAAAUUUUAUAGCUUAAUACGAGUGUAUUUUAACAUUUUUUACUUUACACAAAUACAGAUUAAUUUACAUUGUAGUUUAACCCCUGCUGUGGUAGACAGCUGUCGACCUGGAAAUCCCUGACACUGAACACCACUCCUUCAGUGUUGCUCUGAUGCCUUCGUGCUGUGUUCCUUCUCAUGGCGUCCUUGUAACAAGAAACCCGGCGAGAGCGGCCUGAUAAAAUGUCUAAUCAUCAGAAACACACUUAAAACAGAACCCCUGGGAAAACCCCAGUGUUUCUCGCUGUGCCGUCAUACCACCAGCAUACCAUUGGCUACCCAAAAUUCCCCGGUUUGGGGACUGAAGAACAUCCAAGUGAAAGUGUAGAUGACAUUGGAAUGUUCUCAGUGUCAAUAAUUUCAUUUCCACACCCACAAACUAUUAGAAAUUAUAUCUGGUGGUUGUUGCAAGGUCAUUUAGAUUGCUACAGACUUUUUAAAGUGAUCACCUCUAUCUAUAUAUAUAUAUUACAUAUGGACAUGAAUGUUUCAGGGAAUGUGCACUUUAAAAAUACUUUUUACUAAUUUUUGUAUUGACCAAAAGUGCUGUUUUGGAAUGCUUACUCUUUGGUAAAAAUAUAGCUGUUGAUGAUGAUAAUUAGUUUUUUAAAUAUCUAUUUCUGUAUCACUGCAGUAUUUCUUUCACUUUUGUGUCCCUUUUAUGUGGGCUCCUGGCCCUGUUGCCUGUUACACAGUUUCUGCCUUGCUUUACUGUAUUCUGAUAAGAUGAUUUAUAAGCACAAAUGUUUACAGUGAAGUUCUUCCUCUUGAAAUUUACCUUAGUCAUCUUUUUUUUUCCUGAAAAUUGUUUGUCUGGGCUUGCUGAUGACUAACUUUUCUAAAUAAUAAUUAUUUAUUGCUAUUGGUAGAAUUAAAUUGCUUGGCCAGAUGAUUGCCUGGUUUAAUUAUGUAUACCUUCUUCAAGUAAAUUCAGUAAAAUAAAGAUUUCUGAUUUUCAGCCUGUCUCUGUUUUUAGUUAACUGAAUUGAACUUGAAACAUUACCAAUGAACUUUCCCUCACCCAUCUAAUCUCUACCCUCUCUGAAGCCUAAAUAAGUGUGGAUAACUAACAGAUUGCCCAAGAUCCUGAUUUCUCAGUCAAAGCAGCCAGCCAACAGCAUUCCAGCCUACAUGAUCUUUGCUGACCAAAAGCUUGAAUGGAAAUUCUUCUAAAUUCUUAAGCAGCAAGACUGUGCCUCUCAGCCUCAGAAAACUUCAGAUGGCUCAUUUCCACAGUAAGUAAGUAAUGAGCAUAUUUUAAAAGAAGGGCUAGGAGAGAAUUUUCUCCUUGCAGAAUUAAUAGUGACAGAAAUAAUAAUUCACCUCUGACAUGGAGAAUUCAGCCUUUUCUUUACAUAAGAAAAUGCUUCACUACGUUUUGUUAUGAUUUAUUUGACAGCCCUCCUGCAAUAGAAGUGAUUGAAAGCCAUCAUCUUUUUGUAUGUUUUGUCAGCCAAAGCUUCACACUUGGAGGUAGAACCUGACAGUCCUGACUGGCUGAGGGGAAGGCUUAGUCCAGUUACAGCAAUGCUGACACAUCAUUCCUUCCAAAACAUAACUGACCUGGGUGCAUUCUGUAGACCAACUGGAAGUAAGACAUGUCACACCUUAAAUCCCUAAGUGAUGUGCAUGUGUUUGAGUGUUUGUAUAUGUGUGCGCAUCUUCAAAUACAAAGCGGGAUAAAAGCAUCUUGGGCCUUUCCUUUGAAGCACCCUGCACUUCCCAGGUGACUCUGCCUCUGCUUUCUGAGGCAGCUACUAUGGGAAUAUAACAUAGCGUGACAAAUGAAUGCAGAUUGGCCUUGGCGGAUGAAGGGGAGCAGAAUAUGCCACUCCAAAAUAUGCCUUUCUGGUGUAAGCAUUUUUUUUGAGCUGAUGAUUUUUAAGAAACAGCAAACACAGGAAAAGCUCUGGAAACCUAGUAGAAGUUAUAUGUUCAGAAGGGGAAUUUACAUUUAUGAGAGAAAUCUCAUUUGUAAUCCCUCUCUGUACCUAAAAAAGGAGACUCGAAAUGACAAGAAACUCUUACCAAUGGAGAAGGCUCCAACAAGAGUAAGGUUGUAAAUCUUCGAAACAACCUUACUCUUGUUUACUGUGCUUUUUCUGGUAACCUCCCUUAACUGGCCUUUCCCACUGCUCCCCUCCCCGGCCCCACAACAUCUUUCUUGUGUUUUUACCUGAAGCAGGUAUUUAAGGGGAUGGCUUGGGCCAUUUUUAGAGAGUUAAUCAGUGUUCCUGGUUGUCUCUCAUGUACACAGGAGGUAUUGGUAUAUAUACCUAUAUAACACAGGUAUAUAUGUUAUUAAACUUCUGUUUUUCUUCUCAUAAUCUGUCUUUUAUUACAUAGGAGUGGGUCUCAGUCAAGAACCUGAAAGGGUAGAGGGAAAAUCAUUUUUCCCCACGUACAGUUUGGCAAGCCGUCAUGGGAACUGCUGAGAUACCCUUCUCGCUCUGGAGCCUGCAGAUAGGACCCUGGAAAACUGACUGAAGCCAGCAAAGAAAUUAUUGUUUUGCUUUUGCAAAAGUGCCUCAUCUUCAGGGAGACUCAUGGAAAGGACUCUGAAGAGUGUAGGUUUCGGUUAACUUUCAGGUCAUACCAUUGGACUGGGUAAGAACCAACCAGGAAAAUUCUAGGGAAAAAAUGGACUCAUAAAACUGCUAACAAUAGGUCAAGAUCAGCAAGUAUUACCUGGGACUCAAAGAAUUUGUUAUCUGGGACUGAAUGAAAUAAUAAGGAAGAUUAUUUUUAUAACUUUUUUAAUGUUUUGCUUUUCCAGAUUUAAAGAAACUCUUUACUUUUCUCUUAAACUACCUGUGACUUAUAGCAAUUUGGUAAGUAUACCUUUGUGAACAAGAUGAAACGAUUCUUCUUCUCUCUACCUGAUUCCUGCAGAAUUUGGAAAUUUGGAGUAUCCUUGUUUACAUAACAUAGUUAUUUGCAUAAGUUCAAUUUCCUUGUUCUCCUUGUAACCUAUUCUCCUUGUAACAGGACACAAUUGGAAACACUGGUUUUAUUACCAAGACUUUGACUGAAAAGUCACAUGAGAAUGCAUGAAGAAUCAUGUAUGACCAGUUUUAAGGAGUUUUAAUAAAGCUCCUUGGAAAAGCCACCUGGUACCUUGCUUAUAGGGUUCCUGGCAGCCUCACCAGGUUUGGAAGGUCACUUCUCGGCACAUGUGGGAAUCUCAGGAUAUGUGGGGGACCUUGACUGAGAAGAGGUCCAAACGGAUAGAUAGGUAUUGCAGGCAGAGUGUGAAGGCUAGACCUUGGCUCGGAUUCUUCGCUGUGAUACAACCUGAGAUUCCUUAUGCAAAGUUCCAGCAGAGAGAUUUUAAAAUGCCUGUAUCUGGUCACUGUUCUUGCUGCACUUAUGUAAAUAAUCAGGCCAAGUUUAUUGGGACUGGAUUUAUUUCGAAAACAAAUUAGUUUUGCUGUAAUUAUCUUUGGUAAAAAAGAUGGGAUGAGAGAAAAUGAUGCUAAGGUAGAAACUAUAAUGCAUCUGAAGGCUGAUUCUAGUCCUGUUAAUUGUCCUGUCAUUUUCAACCUAUAAACUGGACUGGAUCCUGAAUUCUUUUAAUAUCCUCAAUUAAUCUGGCUACAACUCUUCAAAUUAAUGUUUCCAUUUUCCCCCACUCUUUCGAGUUAGAAUCAAUAAGAACAAAUUUCAUGAAAUUACUAGAAAUCUUGUAUAUCCUGAUGUGUUAUCACUUCUAAUUCUAGUUAUCUGAAAAGGUAUGUCACAGAAAUGACCAAAUUUGUUGGUCAACUGCUUUAUAAUGAACUCUCAUCAAAUCUUUAACCAUUGCCAUUUUUAAACCUUUUUCAUUUACAGAAGUUACUGUGUUGUUUUUGCAAAAGAGUUUCCCAAACCCCUGCAAACAGAAUUCGAACAUGUUGGUAGAAACUUCAGCUAAAUGGUCACAGUAGCUGGUGUUCAGACACCUCCUGCCUGUGUUGCACGGGCCACUGAGACGGUUUACCUGAGCACCCAGUGACGUCAGACACACGACCAUUAACUCUGUGUUCUCUCGUUUCCAUAGAAAUGCCUCUUUUUACAUAUCUGAUUGCUCCUACCACACAGGCCUAACUGUGGGACCCCACCUGCAAUACCUCCUCCUGAAAUAAGAAAUGAAUGUUUAACUGAACUGACCUGUUCUCAAGAUUGAGAGACUGGUUCAGGGAAAGAACACAGCUGUCUAUCAACUCAGCUUCUGGACUGUGAAACACCCGUGACGUUUCAAAGAACUCCACAAGGGAUUUCAGCACGCAGCGCAGGCCGAGAGCCAGUGCUUUGGAGCGGCCCCAGCCUGGCAGCAUGUUAGAGUGGAUCCCACGCUCAGGCCGCACACACCGCCAGUUACAUCAGCGUCUCAGGCUGAAUCCAGGCCCCAGGCUUUUCCAUCAGGCACCCAUGGAAUUCCAGUGCGCACCCAGCUGUGAGAACCGGGUUUCCAGGUCAAAGGGAUACUCGAUGAUGCCGGUUGUGGGCACUCGGACACGAAGCACGUCUUGCUGCGUGGGCACAAACGACGGCACGGCGAUCCGGUCAAUGUCACUCAAGUAACUGUGACAUGAGAGAACGCACUGAUUCGUUUUAGGGAAAGGAGGAGCUUCCCACCCCAGGGAAGCCACCCCGACUCAGAGCAACCCCCACUCAGAUUCAUGGGUUCCAUCCAUGACUCCGAGAGCCGGCUCUCCUACAGCUGUUUUAGAGGGAGUAUAGAUCAGAAGCUUUCAUGAGCCUUCUGGGAAAUCUGCAGACCCCGCCAUCACUUCCUCCUGGAUCUAAGCUUGAUCGUUAUCUGGGCGUGAGAGAGACAGCAGGGCGGGAAGGAAGGGGAUGCUGGAAUCUGCCCUCCGCCUUCCAAGGCCCUUCCCCCUCCCACACUCGCCCUCGUCCAAGAUUAUAGAAUACAGAUGCUGCUCCCAAACGCUUUGCUCAAUGAAUUAGAGUUUCUAAGAAAAUAUGAAGGCAUGAAACAGGCCAACAGGAAGUUCUUUCCAAAUAAUAACAAGAAAAAGUUUUCCUGUUACACAGAGAAAUUAAACAUCUAAAAUAAACCAAAAAUUGUCUUGGAUGAUUUUUUGCCAUAUAUUAAAGAAAGCCAGGAGCUUAAAACAUAUCCCUUCUCUGUGGUAAAACAAGAGGGUACUUUAAAAAAAAUAAGCCUUUAAAAAAGGCAUCUUUGAGUAAAAUAACUCAGACCCUGGCCAAUGACAGAGCUGGAGAUUCCAAGCCCAUCAGCGCUCUGAGACCACUCUGGGCCCCAUACAUGACCCUGCAGCUAAUCGGCACUGACUUCUGUAUGUGUGAUCUUUACACCUCUCUUGUUCCACCAGAUUGUGUGUUCCUCAGCAUUAGAGAGCACUGGUUGUACCUGCCCCCCUCACCUCAGCGCCUGCAGCACCUUGGCCCUCAGCAGGCACGCAUCAUGUUUUUUGUGCAAUGAAUGCCUGUCCAAAUAUGCAGAUGUGACUGGCAGAGGGGAUGACAGCCGCUGGCCUGGACCAAGGAAACACACAAGUGUCUCAGGUCUCACCAGUUCCAAAGGCGGGGCAGCUGUCUGGGUUUAUCUCUGCUGCUGCAGCUCUGUCCACCAACCUAGUCACUUCCAACAGCCCUCUCCCACUUGCCACAGUGUUCAGGGCUCCACUGAACUUUAUAGCAGCUCCCGCGGGUCUCUUCCAAAGGGAUCUGCAUCAAGAGCCCCAGCCCCUCCCCUCCACCGAAGCAAUGACGCUAGGCUCUCAAGAAAGAGCCAGGGAUGCCUUGGCCGAUGGGGGGGCUGUCCCUGGCUCCCCAGCUGUCACAGGCAGUCUGCCCUCCUUUUGGGACACUAACCUCCCUUCCAGCUCUUUUCUGUGCCCAUCCAACACCUUCGUGGGUGGGGCUUCUUUUCUUCCCUUUUCCUGCUUUGUACCUAAACGUUCCUAAACUCAGUGCCCCAGCCUGGUUAAUGGAGUAGACUCUCAGCCUGGGACCAGUGCCAAAGGUAAGAUUCCAGGUUCCCUUCCCGCUCACUGCCUUGUCCAGAGGAUGGGAGUGAGUCGCCCCCCACACCAGCUCAGAGGGCAAUGACAGCUCCUGAAGGGAAGGGCAUGUCUCAGGAAAGGAUUUCGGGGCCCUCAGAAGGUGGAAGGGAUGUGGGCCAAGGGGUUAGGAGCUGAGCUGCAGAAGCAGGAAUCGUUUCUUUAAGAAGGACCUUGAUUAAACUGCCCAGUGGUCUGGCUGACUGAGGCAGCACCACAGGAAAUUCUUAAGAAAAUGAAAUUCUGUGAUUUCACUGGAAUAGUUUGCAUGCAGAACCAUCUAUUUAUUUUUUUUUACCCUAAGGAUAACAUUUAAAACCAGAGCUUUAUGGAUGC